AUUCAGAUGACGAGUGCCAAAUAGGAUGAAAUUCGCGUUAUCCUGGAU
This 48-nucleotide non-coding RNA is filed under the name Trichobilharzia regenti. Lineage: Eukaryota; Metazoa; Platyhelminthes; Trematoda; Strigeidida; Schistosomatidae. The record is from RNAcentral.